GGGGAAUAUUGGACAAUGGGCGCAAGCCUGAUCCAGCCAUGCCGCGUGAGUGAUGAAGGCCCUAGGGUUGUAAAGCUCUUUUGUGCGGGAAGAUAAUGACGGUACCGCAAGAAUAAGCCCCGGCUAACUUCGUGCCAGCAGCCGCGGUAAUACGAAGGGGGCUAGCGUUGCUCGGAAUUACUGGGCGUAAAGGGUGCGUAGGCGGGUCUUUAAGUCAGGGGUGAAAUCCUGGAGCUCAACUCCAGAACUGCCUUUGAUACUGAGGAUCUUGAGUUCGGGAGAGGUGAGUGGAACUGCGAGUGUAGAGGUGAAAUUCGUAGAUAUUCGCAAGAACACCAGUGGCGAAGGCGGCUCACUGGCCCGAUACUGACGCUGAGGCACGAAAGCGUGGGGAGCAAACAG
Molecule: ribosomal RNA, 402 nt
Filed under: Nitrobacter sp.
Lineage: Bacteria; Pseudomonadati; Pseudomonadota; Alphaproteobacteria; Hyphomicrobiales; Nitrobacteraceae
Description: bacterial SSU rRNA
Rfam family: Bacterial small subunit ribosomal RNA
Source: RNAcentral